This 191-nucleotide ribosomal RNA is filed under the name uncultured Methanosaeta sp. Its description in RNAcentral is "partial 16S ribosomal RNA". It matches the Rfam family "Archaeal small subunit ribosomal RNA", at positions 1150 to 1338 of the family's 1478-position model. Lineage: Archaea; Methanobacteriati; Methanobacteriota; Methanomicrobia; Methanotrichales; Methanotrichaceae. The record is from RNAcentral.
UAUGCCCCGAAUAUCCCGGGCUACACGCGAGCUACAAUGGUUGGUACCAAUGGGGUAUCUACCCCGAAAGGGGACGGGAAUCUCCUAAACCAAUCUUAGUUCGGAUUGAGGGCUGCAACUCGCCCUCCAUGAAGCUGGAAUCCGUAGUAAUCGCGUUUCAACAGAACGCGGUGAAUACGUCCCUGCUCCUU